Molecule: ribosomal RNA, 252 nt
Filed under: uncultured bacterium
Lineage: Bacteria
Description: partial 16S ribosomal RNA
Rfam family: Bacterial small subunit ribosomal RNA
Source: RNAcentral
UACGAAGGGGGCUAGCGUUACUCGGAUUGACUGGGCGUAAAGGGCGCGUAGGCGGUUUGUACAGUCAGACGUGAAAUUCCUGGGCUCAACCUGGGGCUGCGUUUGAUACGUGCGGACUUGAGUUCGGAAGAGGGUCGUGGAAUUCCCAGUGUAGAGGUGAAAUUCGUAGAUAUUGGGAAGAACACCGGUGGCGAAGGCGGCGACCUGGUCCGAUACUGACGCUGAGGCGCGAAAGCGUGGGGAGCAAACAGG